RNAcentral lists this small RNA (710 nucleotides) under Pongo abelii (Sumatran orangutan). RNAcentral describes it as "processed transcript". Lineage: Eukaryota; Metazoa; Chordata; Mammalia; Primates; Hominidae. The record is from RNAcentral.
CAAGGUGAACACCAAAAAGUAAAAAGUCUGGGUAAUAAAAUCUACAGUAGGGAAAGAAAAUGCUUCUGAUAACUUCAGUGAAGCUUGCAGUUUCAGCUACUAAGUCAGGAUUGUUACCCCCACCACCUGCGCUCCCUCCGAGACCUUGUCCAUCACAGUCUGAACAAGUGUCGGAGGCUGAAUUACUCCCACAGCUGAGCAGAGCCCCAUCCCAGGCUGCAGAAAGUAGUCCAGCAAAGAAGGAUGUACCGUAUUCUCAGCCACCAUCAAAGCCCAUUCGUAGGAAAUUCAGACCAGAAAAUCAAGCUACAGAAAACCAAGAGCCUUCCACUGCUGCAAGUGGGCCAGCUUCUGCAGCAACCAUGAAACCGCAUCCAACAGUCCAAAAGCAGUCUUCCAAACAGAAGAAGGCCAUUCAAACUGCUAUCCGCAAAAAUAAAGAGGCAAAUGCAGUGCUGGCUCGGCUGAACAGUGAGCUCCAGCAGCAGCUCAAGGAGGUUCAUCAAGAACGAAUUGCAUUGGAAAACCAAUUGGAACAACUUCGUCCAGUCACUGUGUUGUGACCCCCCAUGGUUCAAGUGACAGUGGGUGACCUUGUCUGCCAAGAUCUUUCUUUUGAAUGUUUUGAACCCAACUACUUGUCAUAGAUGUUUGACUGUGUCAAAAGCUGUGAGCAGCAAAAUAUAAUCCAUAUGACCUUUUCUCUUGCA